Molecule: long non-coding RNA, 725 nt
Organism: Diachasmimorpha longicaudata
Lineage: Eukaryota; Metazoa; Arthropoda; Insecta; Hymenoptera; Braconidae
Exons: 2
Source: RefSeq, a predicted model, not a curated record
AACUGACUCUGCUGGCUCUGGCUUCGUACGAUUGUGACGGAGCAUUGCUUGGACGGGAGCCAGCUGUGCGCCUGCCUGUCUUUUUACCCCUGGACGAUAAACUCGGCUACCCUGUGCGAGUAUCUGCCGUUGGGCUCAGGAGGUUCAGACAUUAGUCAUCUACUCAAGGCACUGGAGGGGACUGCAUCCAUUACGUUUAAUCAAAAGCUCUCUCCAUGAUUUGUUUUCGAGGGAAUUAUCGAGGGGAUUAACUGCCAUUUAUCUUGGACUACUCUAGGAAGCUCAUCGGGGGUGGGAUUGUCUACACUUUUCUACCGUCAACAUCAAACUUGAUACUGAUGUCUUUUUAUUGUCGCCAAGUGAUUAAUACAUCGUCAGUUCUAUAUCUCUGGGAGCAGGUCGUCUCCCUCCAGGGGGUGGGCUUUCCGUGGUUGAACUGGAGAAGGCCAGCCACCGCUAUCAUUACUCCAUUAUCUAUGCAGAACCUCUCGUCAGUGGCAUAAAGUUUUGCCGAGCGCUCUUUGCACAUUAUUUCCAUCAUGGCUUGUAGGCGCUCGUUGCAGCCCACGCCACCGACUAUCAGCACUUCGUUGGAGCCCACGUGAGCCAUUGCUCUUUCUAGAAUAGCACAGGACAAUAUUUAUCAUUGAAUCGUCACGACAGAGAAGAGAAUUCUGAAGACAAAAUCAGGAUGGAAAUUUAUUAAAAUUUUUUGGAAAAUGUGA